RNAcentral lists this ribosomal RNA (253 nucleotides) under uncultured bacterium. RNAcentral describes it as "partial 16S ribosomal RNA". It matches the Rfam family "Bacterial small subunit ribosomal RNA", at positions 524 to 776 of the family's 1533-position model. The record is from RNAcentral.
UACAGAGGUCUCGAGCGUUAGGCGGAAUCACUGGGCUUAAAGCGUGUGUAGGCGGAUCGGUAAGUACCUUGUGAAAUCCCACAGCUUAACUGUGGAACUGCUUGGUAUACUGCCAGUCUUGAGCCAGCUAGGGGCUACCGGAACAAAUGGUGGAGCGGUGAAAUGCGUAGAUAUCGUCUGGAACGCCGAAGGUGAAAACAGCUCGCUGGGGCUGCGCUGACGCUGAGACACGAAAGCCAGGGGAGCGAACGGG